GCUGGGUGUGGUGGUGUGUACCUGUAAUCCCAGAUACUUGGGAGGCUGAGGUGGGAGGAUCGCUUGAACCCGGGAGGCGGAGGUUGCAGUGAGCUGAAAUCAUGCCACUGCACUCCAGCCUGGGCAACAGAGCAAGAUUCCACCUCAA
This 148-nucleotide non-coding RNA is filed under the name Gorilla gorilla gorilla (western lowland gorilla). The record is from Rfam by way of RNAcentral. Lineage: Eukaryota; Metazoa; Chordata; Mammalia; Primates; Hominidae.